UACGGAGGAUCCGAGCGUUAUCCGGAUUUAUUGGGUUUAAAGGGAGCGUAGGUGGACAGUUAAGUCAGUUGUGAAAGUUUGCGGCUCAACCGUAAAAUUGCAGUUGAUACUGGUUGUCUUGAGUACAGUAGAGGUGGGCGGAAUUCGUGGUGUAGCGGUGAAAUGCUUAGAUAUCACGAAGAACUCCGAUUGCGAAGGCAGCUCACUGGACUUCAACUGACACUGAUGCUCGAAAGUGUGGGUAUCAAACAGGAUUAGAUACCCUGGUAGUCCACACAGUAAACGAUGAAUACUCGCUGUUUGCGAUAUACAGUAAGCGGCCAAGCGAAAGCAUUAAGUAUUCCACCUGGGGAGUACGCCGGCAACGGUGAAACUCAAAGGAAUUGACGGGG
RNAcentral lists this ribosomal RNA (392 nucleotides) under uncultured bacterium. RNAcentral's name for it is "partial 16S ribosomal RNA". It matches the Rfam family "Bacterial small subunit ribosomal RNA", at positions 524 to 918 of the family's 1533-position model. The record is from RNAcentral.